GAAAAUGAAUCUCAAGAUAAUUUAUGAUAACAUACAGCACUUUGACAACAAAUUUACUUAGAAUUUUGAAGGCCGUGAAGCACCAGAUUCCAAGUGUCACCUUCCGUCACACGAACCAAAAAAUUGGAUUUUUACUGUUGUUCAUUCGUUCUGUGCUGUGUGAUCUGAUGAGGACGAACAUGGGCUUUCCGUGACCAUGAUUGUUCUUGGAAAUUUUUCUACUGAAGUGGUUUCCCAUUGCCUUCUUCUGGGCAGUGUCUUUACAAGAUGGGUGACCCCCCCCCAGCCAUUAUCAAUAUUUUUGAGAGGUUGUCUGCCUGGUGUCAGUGGUCGCGUAACCAGAAGUUGUAACAUACACCAGCUGCUCCCAGAGCUACACGUGACCUUUACCCAUGGCUUCAGGUGCUACAUGUUACCUGUAGGCUAGUGGAGGGAAACAACGUCUUACACCUCCUCUGCUAGGGACACAUGUCCACCCUGCCACCCAUUAUAACUGUCACAUGUAACAAUGCAGAAAAACUUGUCUUGCAUACCACCCAUACAGAUCAUCUCAUUUUAUUAAGACUAGAUUGGCUUCAUUUAUCACAUGUACAUCAAAACUUCAAAACAUAUAGUGAAAAGUGUUUACAUCCAAGGAUGUGCUGGGGCAGCCCAUAAGUGUCGCCACACUUCUGUCACCAACAUAGCAUGCCCACAUCUUACUAACCCUUACUGACCCCCUACGCCUUUGGCAUUGACAGCAUGGGAAGAAUGAACAAACUCCGAAUGGAGAGCAGCAGAAGUUGAACCCCAAUCACUGGCACUGUAAAGCAUUAUACUAACUACCAUGUUAACCAAGCUGCCUCUGUAGAAGUGCUCCAGUUACAGAGAAACCGUGCUGCAGAUAACCAGUAAGGUACAAGGCCACGAUGACAUACAACAGCCUUACAACAGUAUGAUAGAAGCUGCUCUUGAUCCUGGUGGUACAUGCUUUCAGUUUUUGUAUCCAAUGGGAGGGGCGAGGGGGAGUACCCCCAGAGUGCCGGAAAGGGACAACGUUGAGUUUGGGAGAGUGGGGUGUCGAAGGGAAGUGGCUCUGUCCAAUCUGAUUUCCCACAAAGGCAUUACUCAUCAAAAGGGGUUUAACAAAGUCCAGUGGGGCCAGCUUUUUCACAUCCCAGGUUUGUUUAUUAUUGAUAAAUACAGGGAUCCCGAGAUCUCCACCCCCAGCUCCCUGAAAGCAGCUGUACAAGUUGAUAGGGUGGUAAAGGAUGUCUAAUAGUUGAGGCAUAGUGUUUAAGAGUUUGGAAGUUAUGUUGUAGCUUUAUAAAGGUUUGGUUGUAUCUGGAGAACUGCAUUCAGUUCAGGUCACCCCACUACAGGAAGGAUGCUGCUAAGGAAGGCAUGUGCUAUCAACAGAAGCUGGACAAACUAGGCAGAAGCUGAGGGAAAUGUGUUAAAAAGUUUUUUUUUAUUUUAGAGAUGCAGCAAGGUUACAGGCCCUUCAAUCCCACUCAUACUUUAUACUUUAUUGUCGCCAAACAAUUGAUACUAGAGCAUACAAUCAUCACAGCAAUACUUGAUUCUGCGCUUCACACUCCCUGGAGUACAAAUUGAUAGUAAAUAUAAUAAACAUUUAAAUUAUAAAUCAUAAAUAAAAAAUAGAAAAGGGAAAGUACGGUAGUGCAAGUCAGGUCCGGAUAUUUGGAAGGUAUGGCCCAGAUCCGGGUCAGGAUCUGUUCAGCAGUCUUAUCACAGUUGGAAGGAAGCUGUUCCUAAAUCUGGCUGUACGAGUCUUCAAGCUCCUGAACCUUCUCCCAGAGGGAAGAGGAACAAAAAGUGUGUUGGCUGGGUGGGUCAUGUCCUUGAUUAUCCUGGCAGCACUGCUCCGACAGCGUGCGGUGUAAAGUGAGUCCAAGGAUGUAAGAUUGGUUUGUGUGAUGUGCUGGGCUGUAUUCAUGAUCUUCUGCAGCUUCUUCCGGUCUUGGACAGGACAACUUCCAUACCAGGUUGUGAUGCACCCUGGAGAAUGCUUUUUACGGUGCAUCUAUAAAAAUUAGUGAGGGUUUUAGGGGACAGGCCAAAGUAAAGGCGCUGGUGGGCCUUCUUGGCAGUGAACUGACUGUGCUUGGUUAGACCAAGUCAGGUCAUUAGUGAUAUUGACCCCGAGGAACUUGAAGCUUUUGACCUGUUCCACCUGCGCACCAUCGAUGUAGAUAGGGUCGUGCAGUCCACUACUCCUUCUGAAGUCAACAACCAAUUCCUUCGUCAUGUGACCAAUUAACUGACUAACCCAUACAUCUUUGGAAUGUGGGAGGAAACCCAUGCAGCUAUGGGAAGAAUAUACAAAUUCCUUACAGACAGCAGCAGGAAUUGAACACUGACUGCUGGCACCGUAAUAGCGUUAUGUUAACUGCUACCCUACUAAACCAUCCCAUCUCUGGUGAGAGGCAGAGCUAAAGUAGAGAGCCAGUAUCUUUCUCGCAGGGUCAAAAUGUCAAUACUGAAGCUCAUGCAUUUAAGGUAAAAGGGGUAAGUUCAAAGAAAUGUACAGGGCAAGUUUGUAUUUCACACACAGAAUGGUGGAUCCCUGGAAUAUGCUGUCUGGGAUCACGGUGGAAGCAGAUACAAGAUGUAUUUAAGAGGCUCUUGGAUGCAUGCAUGAAUAUGCAGAGAAGAGGGGUGGAUUAUGGACCACGUGCAGGCGGAAGGGAUUAGAUGUCAUCAUCUUAAUUUAGUUCAGCACAGCUGUGCUGUACUGUUCUAUAUCCUAUGUAAGCUAUCCCGGCUGACAGGAUUUGAACCCAUGCCCCUGGAUGAGAACUCUGGUUCCUACCCCAGAUAAUUAACCACAUCAUUAGAUCAUUGGGCAGAACAGUUAGGGAGUGUGGCAGUGCAGAACAGAAGUAUUAUGUUACUGAACUAACACUUCAGAGUUCAAAUUGCAGGAUCAUUAAUCAGAGGUUUAAAAGUCCAGAAAAAAUAAACUGAUGGUGAUUACAGUUUGUUACAAUCACAAUUGCUUCAUAAACAUACUGGAAUUGGGAGCUCAGGUCUGAUUUGGCCGGGGCACGUGUGUAAACCCAGCCAAGAUCAGCAGUCAACUGCCAUCCCACUCUUACAAAGGUUACUUGAAGAGUCUGCGUCCGUGUGUUUGUACCCAUGUCUGAGUGUGAGCGAGAGUAUUAUUCAGCCCCUCAUAGCUCAGAAAACAUCAAGCCAUUGCCCUCUGGAACUGAAGCCUCACCCAAGUCUGGCCAAGGUCACCCUGUCCAACUGACCAGCAGUCAGAGACACACAAGGGACCCUGGGACAGCAGCAGGUCAGGAUUCCUGGAAGCACACAGAUGGUGGUGUAGGCGAGAUAGACCCACUUGAGCCUUAUCAGGCUGCUCUCCUCAAGGCGUUGCUUGAGGCAAGACCUCCACCCUAACCACAGCAAGUCCGCCUGCUCAUAACACUCCAGCCUCUCCCCACAUCUAUCCUUAUCAGUACCAAGCAAGCAGUGGGACACUGAGUGAAUAGUUAAUUAGAGAACCCUCUUUUGGAGUAUGCAAAUGAAGCCAGCCCAUAAUAAGGAUGUACCAGAGAGAGAGAGAGAGAAAACGAGAGUGUGUGUGACAGAGAGAGACUGAGGAAGGGUUUGGAUUCAAGGGGGGGGGGGGUGGAGGAAUGGAGUGAAAGCAAGAAGGACCAAAGAAAUAAAAAGUCAAGUCUGCAGUGCCCUCAAUCCUGAGGCACCGGUCAGUGGUGAAACCGGAGUGUGGGAGCCACAAAGCUGCAUUGGGAGGGAGCAUCAUUUCUCAGGAGGUAGGUUGUGGAAACUUUACUCUGCACCUUUUCUCACAUCUUUCACUUCUUGCAGUUCAGACUUCUCCCUUGAACCCGGGCUGAGUGUUACAGAGUUGUACAGUGGUCACUCAGCAACCGUCGAAGCAGGUGCCCUGCCUCCAAGCCCAAAGGUUUUGGAUCACAUUCAGAGUCAUUUCAAACUGGUUCCUCAGCUCAGGUGUGCCAAACUGACAUGGAACCAGCCCUCAGAUGGGGUCAAGGGGAACAGCAGGAGGAUCACGGGGGCUCAGAGGACCUCCUCCCCUCCUCUGCUCCAUCCUCUUCCAAGACCCCCCCCCCCACCCCAGCUGUGUGAUAGGGAAAAAAUGUGUCUCCCUUUUUAAUUCCUUUAAACAAUUCCCUACUUAACUUUCUGUACCAGAGAGAACACUCAACUGUUUUGCCUAUACAUUUAACCCUUUGAAUCCUGGGUUGCAUUCUGUUGAAUCUAUACAGCAGCAGGUGAACUGCAGUAAGUACAUUGAGGAAAUGGCUCUUAAUCCCAUGUUGUUUACUGCCCUCUGAACUUCAACAAUGUAUGGUUUGUCAAAUAUUCUUUGCUUUGACAUUCUCAAUCUUUAAACGUUAUUCUGGUUCAAAAGGGGUUUUCAGAAUUAAAAUCAGGUUUAUUACACUGACCCAGGUGUGGAAUUUAUUGUUUAUAGGUAACAGUACAGUAUAUUUUGUGUAUUUUGUAUAAAUUACAAUAACAAAUACUUUAUAUAUUAAAAAAUUAAAUAGGCAGUGCAAAAGGGGCAAAAAUAGUGGGGUACUGAAUCAGAUUCAGGUUUAGUAUCACUGGCAUAUGUUGUGAAAUUUGUUGUUUUACAGCAACAGUACACUGCAAUGCAUAAUAAAAACUAUAAAUUACAGUAAGUAUAUAUAAAAAAGAAAAUUAAAUUUAGUGCAAAAAGAAGGGGACAAAGAGUGAGUAAGUGUACUUUGCCCAUUCAAAAAUCUAAUGGCAGAGGGGAAGAAACGUUUCCUGAAACAUUGAAUCGGGGACAUGUUGUCAGUGGUGAGGAUCCUUAAUGAUGGAGCUGAAUGAUUUUGCAACCGUCUGCAGCUUUUUCCAAUCCUGUGCAGUGGCUCCUCCACACCAGAACCUGAUGUCCAUUUAAUCUCUCAAUGCCUUGUUAUUUCACUUCACUGUCCAAACCACUUACACCACCACCAAACUUCACAAUCUUGACAAACUUGGAUAUUCCCAAUAUUAAUAGUUGAAGGCCCACAGACAGUGUGAAGCUCUGGUUAUUGCUGUCCAAUAGCAUGUAUGGAGUUAAAUCUGAAUGCUAUUGGUAUGUUCAACAGCAUGGCAAAGAGUCCCGGCUUGGCAUACUCAGGUUCGCUGUGAUUUUUAUUUUGUAGUCAUAGUUAAACCAAGUGCCGUACUGAGCUAGUCCCAUUGGCCCAUAUCCCUUUAAACCAGGAGUUCCCAACCUGGGGUCCAAUGACCUCUUGCUUAAUGGUAUUGAUCCAUGGCAUUAAAAAAUCUGGGAGCCCCACUUUAAACCUUUUCCUAUUGAUGUAUCCGUUCAAAUUGUCUUUUAAGCAUUUUAGUUGUACCUGCCUCCACCACAUCCUCUGGCAGCUUAUUCCACACAAUACACACACAACUCAAGAGGUCAGAUAGCAUCUAUUUCAGGUUGAGACUCUUCAUCAGGACUCCACAUCAUUCCACAUACUCACCACACUUUGUGGGAUAAGUUCCUCCCCACGUAUCCCUUAAAGCUUUUCCCUCUCAUCUCUAAUUAAUGCUGUCUAGUUUCAGGUUCUCCUUCCAUGGAAAAUGACUGUGGGCCAUCCACCUUAUCUAUAUGGUGUCUUGGGUUCCAUAGCCAUCCGUUGUAAUGAGUUCCACAGAUUCACCACCCUGUGGCUAAAGAAAUUCCUCCUCAUCUCUGUUUUAAAGGGAUAUCCUUGUAUUCUGAGGCUGUGGCAUCUGGUCCACAACUAUAGGAAACUUCCUCUCCAUGCGCACUCUAUCUGGGCCAUUCAAUAUUCAAUAGGUUUAAUGAAAUCCCUCUUCAUUCUCAUAAACUCCAGCGAGUACAAGCCCAAAGCCAUCAAACACUCCUCAUACAUUAACCUUUUCAUUCCUGGGAUCAUUCCCGUUUGAACCCUCUCCAAUACCAGCACACUCUUCCUUAGAUAAGGGGCCAAAAAUUGUUCAAUAUUGUUCAAUAUUGCAAGUGCAAUCUGACCAAUGCCUAAUAAAGCCUCAGCUUUGCAUCCUUGUAUUUAUUCUCACCAGUAGUCAGGCUGGAACCAGAAUCUGGAGUCACACUAUAACCUCCUACCGAGGGGAACAGUCAUGGCCACAUUGACUUCACCUACCCUUGCACACUAGACUGUGGUAAAGCACACAAACGCAAUUCCUCUUUAAAGGGAUAGUCUCUGAUCACAGUGGCGCCAUGUACUACCUCGGAAAAGUACAAAUGUGAAAUUAAGAAUUUCUUCAACUGUUAAAAAGUUGUUAUGGAGAAAAUAUCAAUUUCAACCAGGUCACACAAGCUGCACCACUGAUAAAUUCAUGAUUAGUGAUUUGUUUAUAGAAUGUUAAGUUCACUUGAUUGGGAGUUUCAGUUCUCUUUUCCAAGAAAAAAUCAACUGCUGAUGAACUAAAAAUAGUUGAAUUCUCUUCCGCAGAUGGAGAGUGAGAAAGAAACCGGCCAAUUAAAAGCAGGAGACUUCUCUUCCUGAUACGAACCCCAACUCUCCAAGCAGCUAAAAGCAGGGUGAAGUCAGUUAAACCCUGGAGCGGCGAACAGUGAGGAACACAGCUCAGAGACUUGAGACGUUGACACCAACUAUAAAGCAAUGGGUGGUCACGAUCAGAACAACCGUGAGUGCUGCUUAAAAUGGAACCUGAGGGCCAACACAGUAUAUGCGGAGUGUGUGUGGAGGCUCAGUCGUUCUCCUUAGAGCAGAGAGAUUUUAUCACAGAAUUUUAAAAGCAUGUGGGGUUUUUUGAUGUUGUAAAUGAGAGAACCAGCUUUCACUGACAGGUGGCUACUCAAAUUUAAGGCAAUUAUCAGAUCCUGCAGAAAAAUCCCUUUCACUCGGUAACAAGCUGCCUGAAGGGGCAGUAGAAUGAAAUACAGAAAGGGUAUUGGGAAAGGAAAAAUUUUCAAGGCUUCGGAGAAAGCGACAGAUCAAAUGAACUGGCAUGGGGCUGAGAAGCUGCCUUCUGGGCCUCAUUGUACUUGGAUCUCAAUUGAUGGGUGGCAUAGUAGCAUAGUGGUUAGCUCAGGGUGUCAAGAGUUCGAUUCCGGUGCUGUCUAUAAGGAGUUUCUAUGUUCCUCCCCGUGACUGGAUGGAUUUCCUCCCACAGUCCAAAGGCACACUGGUUAGUUGGUUAAUUAGUCAUUGUAAAUAGUCCUGUGAUUAAACCAGGGUUAAAUGGGUGGGUUGCUGGGCAGUGCUACUCGAUGGGCUGGAAGGGCCAGUUCUGUGCUGUAUUUCUGAAUGAAUUAAGUCUUUAAGGGUAAUGAUGUUGCUGUUGUUAAUUCCCAUGUGAAAAUGUAAUUGCGUCAACCACAGUAAAGAACAGAACAAAGCAAAGUGUUAAUCAUGGUUCUGGGCGUUGUUGCUUUAAUCCAUAUUGUACCAUUGCUGGCAAGUUCCUUGUCUUAAUUUGUCCUAUUUUGAAUCGAUCGACUUUCCUGUUCGUUUUCUGAAAUAAUUCUGAAGCUAACUGGCAGCUGGCCAUGCCUGUGCCAGACUGGGAAUGUGAACAGCAAUCUCACUGGUCUGUGAAGUGGGCAGAUCCCACUUUUGAUCAAAGUCCUUGGUCAGUUGGUGUGUCCUGGGACACUGCCCUUAAGCACGGAGCCCGUCAUUAUUGAGUCCAGAGCUUUGAAAACUUUAAACUCUUCGGCCAGUUCCCAGGAAGAGUUAGCUUUGAGUCAAAAUGUUAACUGGAUUCUUUCCAUAGAAAUUGCUUGAAUGACUAAGACAUAGGACAUUACAGCAAAGUACAGGCCCUUCGGUCCACAAUGUUAUGCUAACCUUUUAACCUACUCUAAAAUAAAUUAACCUUCCCCUCCUAUAUUCCUUUUCUCAAUCAUUCAUAUACCCAUCUUAGAUUUCCCUAAUAUAUCUGCCUCUACCACCCUGGCAGAAUGUUCCAUGCACCCACCUGUGUGUGUCUGUGGAAUUUGCACCAGAUUGAAAUAAGCUGCAGAAAUUUGUAAACUCAGUCAGCUCCAUCAUGAGCACUAACCUCCCCAGCAUCCAGGGUAUCUUCAAAGAGUGAUGCCUCAAAGUCAGCAUCAAUCAUUAAUGACCCUCAUCACCCAGGACAUGCCCUCUUCUCAUCGCUACCAUCAGGGAUGAGGUACAUGAGCAUGAAGACACAAACUCAAUGCUUCUCCCCUUCUGCCAUCAGGUUUCUGAAUGAACAGUGAACCCAUGAACACUACCUCACUAUUUUUUCCAUUUUUAGAACUAUUUAUUACAUUUAACAUAUAUACACUUACUGUAAUUUACUUUAUUAUAUAUUGCAAUGUACUGUUGUUGCAUUACAACAAAUUUCAUGAUAUAUGCUGAUAUUAAACGAUUCUGAUUCUCUAUGUUAAAAACUUACUACUGAUACGCCCCUAUACUUUCCUCCAAUCACCUUAAAAUUACACCCUCUGGUAUAGCCAUUACUGCCCUGGGGGGAAAUUCUCUGGCUGUCCAUUCCAUCUAUGCUCCCUAUCAGAAGUCUUUCCAGCUUUCCUGCUGUAGUGUCAGCAGUUGUACUGUGAGAUAAGCCCUGGGUAUGAUACAGCACAAGGGAGUAGAGAGCACCUGUGCUCACAUCUGCAUCGAGCACUUUUGCUUUGCCACAGCAGGGUACAAAGGUGCUCAACCAUUUCACAGAAUUAGAGGACCACGUGAAUGAAGUACUGAUAUUGUAUAGAAAGCAAAUUUCAUUUCUGCUCCCCCCCCACCAACACACUCAAGCACAAACCCCCUACCUGUUCAUUCCAGUCACCAUGUGGUUUGUGAUCUUCUUUCUGACUCAGGAGCCAUCUUCAGAAUGGGUAGGUGAGGUGAAAGGUGAGACAGUGUGGCUAUCCGCUCAUCGUGACUGUGGUACUCCCUUUGUACUUCCUUGUACAACAGGACGCUGAAGACGUGCCUGGAGCUCGGGGCAGGAUAUCAUCAUAUACUGACUACAAGCCAAUUGAACUGCAAUCCGAAGAUUCUGGUUCUGACCUGGGAAAUGUACAGAGUUCUCUGUCCCAGGCUGGAAGCUACCUCAGGAUGUGAAACUCAGAACUGCCUUCAGUACUCCAGGUGAAGUCUAACCAGGUUCUUGGAUCCCGCAUACCAAGGUCUUCUCAAAGCUUCCUUCACUCCAGGGAAAACAGACCCAGCCAAUCCAUUCUUUCCUGAUAACUCAAGGCCUCCAAUACGCACGGGACUUAUCGCUGGACUCUGAGGGGGUGUCGGUUAAACCGUUACCAUUACUUGUUUAAGUACUGGUAAGGGUUAUACCGCUGCUCCCAGACUCUUCUCAGCAGCUGGAAGGCGAAGAGACAACAAAGCAAAAGGACACAGCGGAAGCAAUGAUAAAUUGUGAACUUCUAUUGGUUUGUGACUUCAACCAAAAUAAAUUAAAACUACAGGAAUAAUGGAAGUGGAUAUACAAGUGUUAAGUAAGGGGAGCAGCAGAGCAGCCAGAUUACCGUGCCUUUUGCAGCAGAUCUCCCCUCACUAGCAAAUAUUUUCUGUAAAACUCUGCUCACAAAAUUCAAUUCAAACUGCCUUGUUAGGCAGCACACUAACGUAGCAGUUAGCGUAAUACUUCACAACACCAGUGAUCGGGGUUCAAUUCCCUCGCUGUCUGUAAGGAGUUUGUAAAGAUUAGCUUUAUUUGUCAUGUGUACAUCAGAACAUACAGUAAAAUGAGUCAUUUGGAUCAGAUCAAAUCAGCAAAUAUUGUGUUGGGGGAGGGGAGCAGGCAAGUGUCACCAUGCUUCCAGUGCCAACACAGCAUGCCCACAAAUCACUAACCCGUACAUCAUUGGAAUCUGAGAGGCAACCAGAGCAUCUGGAGGAAACCCUCGCAGUCAGGGGGAGAAAUACAAACUCCUUACAGACAGCAGCAGGAAUUGAACCCAGGUUGCUAGUGCGGUAAAGUGUUAUGCUAACCACCCACGCUACUAUGUUGUCCUGUGCACGUUCUCCACCGUGACCCUGAGGAUUUCCUCAGAGUUCUCCGGUUUCCUCCCACAUUUCAAGGUUAGGGCUAGUGAGUAGUGGGCAUGGUAUAUGUUGGCACCGGAAUUAUGGUGACACUUGUGGGCUGUUCCCAGCGCACCCUGGGACUGUACUGGUCACUGACGUAAGUGGCACAUUUCACUGUUGUUUCGAUGUACACGUGAUAAACAAAACUAAUGCUUUAUCUUCAUCUUUUUUUCUCCAUCUCAAACUCAGAUCAAUUAUCCAAAUUCAGUGGCUACUUGCAUCAUUGUGUGUGUCUGUGCAACUGUGCUCUAUCAUGUGGGUCCCCCAUGCAUUCUACACUAUGUAAAUUUCACUCUAAGUCUCUCUCCUCUGUCCCAAUUUGCAUAGACUUAUUUCACCACCAUCCUUGAGCUCACAUUGACCUGAUCACACAGUCUCGUAUAUAGAAUUCCAAUCAGCCUUUUCCAAUUCCUCCAUGGCCUCUCCCAGACACAAAAUCAAGCAUCCUUCCCACCCCACCCUUCAGCUCUCUAGCCUAACACUUUAAAGUUUCUCCCUAAAUCUCCCCAUCUUUCUCUGCAUUUAAAAUUCUCAAUCCCUCCAUCUGGGAGGAGAUAGAGGAGCCUGAACAAAGUUUUACGAACAACUUCUUCCCCUCCACCAUCAGAUUUCUGAACACAUGAACACUACCUCAUAUUUACUCUCUUUUUGCAUUGCUCAUUCAUGUUAUUAAAUUUAUUUUAUAUAUUAUAAUUGCAAAUAUAUAUCUUAUAAUUUUUCUAUUUAUUGUAACAUAAUAUCUUUAAUGUAUGGUGUUGUACCACUGCCACAAAACGACAAAUUUCUCAACAUGUCAGUGAUAAUAAUUUUGAUUCUGAUUGACUGAGCUACAUUUUGUCUGACGCAACACACACAAAAUGCCAGAGGAACUCAGCAGGUCAGACAGUGCCCAUGGAGGGGAAAAACCAUUUCGAGCCAAGACCCUUCAUCAGGAAGUUGAGACAAGUAAGGGUACUAUGUCAGUAACAGUAUCGUCCUGCAGAGUGCAAUAGACAGAGACCAGCCCACUUUUUUUUAACUGAUGUCUCUGGAGUGGGACUUCAAUUCCGGAAGUGGUUAGUGUAGCUGUCUCACAGCUCCAAGGGACCCCGUUUCCAUCCUACUCCUCAGUGCUGUCUGUGUGGAAUCCACAGGUUCCCUCUGUCAGAUGGUAGCACAGACAAUGCUGCAGCUCUAUAAAACUGGUUAGACCACACUUGGAGUAUUGUGUUCAGUCCUGGUCACAUUAUAAGAAAGAAGUGGAAGCUUGAGAGAGGGUGCAGAGAAAAUUUAACAGGAUGCUUCCUGGAUUGGAACAUCCCCAAUGAGGAUUCUUCACAUGAGCCAGGGCUAUCCUCUAAAACGAAGGACGAUGAGAAGUGAUGAUAGUGAUGUAUAAGAUGAUAAGGGGCACAAAGUGGACAACCAGAGACUUUUUCCCCAGGGCAGAAAUGACUAAUACAAGGGGGCAUAACUUUAAGGUGAUUGGAAAAAAGUAUGGGGUGGUGUCAGAGGCAAGAUUUUUCUAUAAAGAGUGGAGGGUGUGUGAAACUCACUGCCAGGGGUGGGGGUAGAGGCAGAUACAUCAGGGACAUUUAAGAGACUCUCAGAUAGGCACAUGGAUGAAAGAAAAUGGAGGCUAUGUGAGAGGGAAGGGUUAGAUUGAUUAGCCAUAUCCACCCAGGGGAAAAAGUCUCUGAUCCAACACAUCAGGGCAAAGACAACAGACAGUAGGUGCAGGAGUAGGCCAUUCAGCCCUUCUAGCCAGCACCACCAUUCACUGUGAUCAUGGCAGAUCAUACACAAUCAGUACCCCAUUUCUGCCCUCUCCCUAUAUACCUUGACCCCACUAUCUAGAAGAGCUCUAUCUAACUCUCUCUUGAAUGCAUCCAGAGACUUGGCCUCCACUGCCUUCUGGGGCAGAGCAUUCCACAUAUCCACCGCUCUCUGGGUGAAAAAGUUUUUCUGCAUCUCUGUUCUAAAUGGCCUACCCCUUAUUCUUAAACUGUGGCCUCUAGUUCUGGACUCACCCAUCAGCGGGAACUUGCUUCCUGCCUCCAGUGUGUCCAAUCCCUUAAUAAUCUUAUAUGUUUCAAUCAGAUCCCCUCUCAUCCUUCUAAAUUCCAGUGUAUACAAGCCCAGUCGCUCCAAUCUUUCAACAUAUGACAGUCCCGCCAUUCCGGGAAUUAACCUUGUGAACCUAGGCUGCACUCCCUCAAUAGCAAGAAUGUCCUUCCUCAAAUUUGGAGACCAAAACCGCACACAAUACUCCAGGUGGGGUCUCACCAGGGCCCUGUACAGCUGCAGAAGGACCUCUUUACUCCUAUACUCAAUUCCUCAUGUUAUAAAGGCCAGCAUGCCAUUAGCUUUCUUCACUGCCUGCUGUACCUGCAUGCUUGCUUUCAUUGACUGAUGUACAAGAACACCUAGAUCUCAUUGUACUUCCCCUUUUCCUAACUUGACUCCAUUUAGAUAGUAAUCUGCCUUCCUGUUCUUGCCACCAAAGUGGAUAACCUCACAUUUAUCCACAUUAAACCCCAUCUGCCAUACAUUUGCCCACUCACCCAACCUGUCCAAGUCACCCUGCAUUCUCAUAACAUCCUCCUGACAUUUCACACUGCCACCCAGCUUUGUGUCAUCAGCAAAUUUGCUAAUGUUACUUCUAAUCCCGUCAUCUAAAUCAUUAAUGUACAUUGUAAACAGCUGCGGUCCCAGCACUGAACCUUGCAGUAUCCCACCGGUCACAGCCUGCCAUUCCAAAAGGGACCUGUUAAUCACUACUCUUUGUUUCCUGUCAGCCAGCCAAUUUUCAAUCCAUGUCAGUACUCUGCCCCCAAUACCAUGUGCCCUAAUUUUGCCCACUAAUCUCCUAUGUGGGACUUUAUCAAAAGCUUUCUGGAAGUCCAGGCACACUACAUCCACAGGCUCUCACCUUGUCCAAGGUGUUGGAUUCAGGGUGAAGAGCGCAGAAGCCAUGAACUGUGCCUUCAUGUGGAGGCAGCACAGCAUCCUUUCUCAAGGUAGUAGGUUAAGGUCUCCAAGGAAAAUGUCUUUGACUGUCCACUCGAUCAAUGCCGCAUUAUCUUGUGCACCAACAUCACUUUCCUUCGGCUUGCCAUUGACAUCGUCAGGAUGCCGCAACCAUCUCAGACAGAUCUCUCUGCACGCCACCAUUUACAACGUACUGUGGUCUCGGGACGUUCUACCACAGCAGAACUGGAUUGCUUACACCUUGCCCUCCUUCACUGCCUGCCAGCCCAAUGAGAGGCUGAAAUGGAGCACCAGCGUUCUGGCAUUCUGCCUGAUGCAAACUAGAAAGGAGGUGACAUAGCCAGCAAGUGACUAGGGUGAAAUUUAAGAUUCCUUUGUUUUAAACACCCAGGAAACAAGUUAAAUAAGGAGAUGUAAUAUAGAGAAAUUAUUUAAAUCUUACCUUAGA
This is a long non-coding RNA of Hypanus sabinus (Atlantic stingray), 13467 nucleotides long. RefSeq lists it as uncharacterized. The transcript is spliced from 3 exons. Lineage: Eukaryota; Metazoa; Chordata; Chondrichthyes; Myliobatiformes; Dasyatidae. The record is from RefSeq and is a predicted model, not a curated record.